Molecule: long non-coding RNA, 4195 nt
Organism: Chelonia mydas (Green sea turtle)
Lineage: Eukaryota; Metazoa; Chordata; Testudines; Cheloniidae
Exons: 2
Source: RefSeq, a predicted model, not a curated record
AAAGUGGCGAAAGCCUCCUUUAUGUAUCUCUUGUCUCAGCUAGACCAGAGGGUGAAGCAUGAUGUGUUAGUAUGUGGUCAUUUAAUCCAAACUCUUGUGCUACAACUCAUCUGUUUCCCUUAACAUUUAAUGCUUCAUUGAUAUAUCCACAGUUCAGUUGUGAGUGGUUUCCUUAUUCCCCCAGAUGAUCGUCAGUGCUCCACAUCUACCUCUGACCAGCAGGCAGAAUGCUAAUGGGAAAGCUUCCCUGGAGAUACGUUUGCUGCUAAAGUAGCUGAUCGCCAGACACUGCUGCAGAAGAAGCAGAUGCUGGCAAAACAGCAUACAAAUGAGUUCUCUGGUGAGGGUAGAGCAAUUUGUACAGGGAUCAUUCAGAAAGCAGCAGCACCCCACAGUGUGCAGGCUCUAGACGUGCUGGCGAUGCUGCAGUGAGAGCAGGAGCAUGGUCAUGCAUGCCCUGAGAGGCUGUGGACAAGAAGGUGGAAGAAACAAGUCAGAAAAGAAGAGCUAACAGACCCUGGGGACUAAUGAAUUAGAGCAAUAAAGCUGCUUCUCUGUGAGUAACUCUGAAGUUCCCUCUUCUGAGUCAGUCAACUUCUCUUCCCGUCUUUCCCACCCUAAUGUGCUGAACCACACCUACCCCAGCCUAUUGUUACCGACUGGACGCAGUCUGCUGGGAAGCUUGUGUAGACCCAACUGGCACUAGCCCAGGUUCUUAGCCAAUACCAGAUGACCGUCAUUUGGCACCACAUUUGGAUGCUCUGCUAGCAGAUAACAGAAGUGGCUACUGGCCCUUCUCUGUAGUGACACUUGAAUUAAUUCCCUUCAGUUCCCCAAAAGGGAAGUUGCUGAGCUGGUAUUGACCAUGCAAAGAUAUCUCAGCUUUGUUUUUCAGGUGAUGAACUUGUGUAACUGUCCAUUAGUGCUAAGGGGGCUUCCAGAACUCCGCACUGAGUUCUUGAGGAAAAUGUUGAAUGUAGCCUUUCCCUCCACCCCCCGCUUGCUGUGAUCAGUAUAAACCUUUUGUGGCCUGAUACCCAAAAGGUACUGAGCAGCCACAGCCUCCACUGCCUUCCUUUAACUUUGCUGGUACUCAUCCUGUCUCAGCCCACUAACUUCUGGGGUGGGUGAAUGAUGCUGCUGCUAGUCGUGGUGACUGAGGUACAGCACAGGUGGCAGCAGGGUAAGCAGCCCCUACUGCCUUGCUAAUAUGCACAACUCUGCUCUGCAGGGACCCUCCGCAGGACAGAGAGGAGGGUUUGGUUGCUAUGCCCCAUUCAGUUCUUGAUCUCAGCUGAGACUGUAAACUGUGGGGCUUUGUGAUCAGAUACUUGGCCACUAGGCACUGACUGAGAUUCUUCAGCUUUAAGGCCAGAAAGGACCAUCAUGAUCAUCUAGUCUGACCUCUUGAACAUUGCAGGCCACGGAACCUCACCCACCCACUCCUGUACUAGACCCCUAACCUCUGGCUGAGUUACUGAAGUCCUCAAAUCAUGAUUUAAAGGCUUCAAGUCAAGAGUGACUUGAAUGUAUGUUUUGUUGUUACUUCCUGCAGUUACUUCCCGUUUGUUACUAUCCCCUUUCCAGGCUUCUGCAGUGUCAGUGCCUUUGGCCUGGGUGUGCUCAGUUAUAACUCCUUGGCUGUUGUCUAUGGCACAAGGUUUUAUGACAGGCAGGGGCUGCGAAGAGUGUCGGAGUCUAGCUCAGAUAGCCAAGGUGAUAAAAAGAAACGAACGUGGGACAGAAAUGGGCUCUCCUGCUUUUAGCAUUCUGUAAAAUUCAUGGGUUUAGUUCUGGCAAUGAUUCUGUGCUGCUCCUGUGUAAAGUGGCAGAAGGAUGCAUACAGUAACUUUAUAGGGGCAUUACUAGGAACAGAAUCAAACUGUUAAAGAUCCACAUCAGUUUCACUCAUGCUAGAGAAGUGGUGUGUCCUGGAGCACAGGGGCAAUGCUCUGGGCAUAAUAUAUACUGGCUUUUAGAGCAACAGGAGACUCCUGGGGGCUUCUCACCCCUUGCAUUGUCCUUCUAGUAGCAACUAUCAACAUGAAGGAGAGUGUCUAUCGGACUGAUCAGUGCUGCUGUUCACACAUCCUGACUGUAUAUUAAGAAAUAACUGUUAAAUGCUUGUUUAAAAACAGUUUCUGGUUGAUACUUAUGUCAGCUUGUUCAUGGCAUUAAAACAGCUUUUAAACGUUGGCUCCGAACACAAGCGUAGGAGUGAAAGUGCAGAAAUGUGUGACUGAGUUGAACCGGGUUGUUCCAAAGGCCAGUGCGUUAGUCUUUGUACAAAGCUGGGACAUGUGUGUGUCUAACAAACCUACUAGGCCUGUGCCAGCUAAGUACAAAUAACACUUUCCUGAGCCAGAGGGGAGUUCACCUAGGGAAUGAAGGGGAGCACCGAGCGAUUGCUAGGGUCAUCUCAUGACCAGGACUCCUAACAGUGCGGUCUGAGCUGCUCUGCCCAUGCCCCCUGCCUGGCUAGUAUUGCCCCCAGUUUGGCCAGCUGUAGGACCCCUCCAGGAGAGCUGACUGUGCACCCACUGAGCGGUUGUAACUGCUCUUCCCACCAGAUGAAGAAUUUUCAUUAAUGGCGUUCUGUAGUCUGAGCUAUGCUGUCACAUCCAGGGCUGAAUCUACCCAGUGUCUGCCUGACAGGACUGAAAUAAACCCCAGUGAAUCACAGGAGCAGGCUAGAGAAGCUCUUAGAAAGCUGUUUAUUAACAAAGGGGUGAAAAAAUACAUGGUUCUGUAAAAAGGACUUUAAGUAAAUUAUUAAUUCCAAGUUUAAAAAUAUGUAUUUAAUUACAAUCUAAGGGCUUUCUCAGAGACCUGAAUUCUGGUAACAAGGUCCCCUUUGUAGGUGGUCAAGCUAUAGCUUGGGAGGUCAUUGCAAAUAGCCCAUUAAGUUUAUGAAGAAAAAAGUGAAGCCCAAAACUCUGUGGCAGGAAAUUCAAGCUUCUCCACCCAUGGCAGCCAUGUUUUCCCCAAGUUGAAGCUAUGAAGUAAUGCGGGCAAUAAAUCGCUGUCACGGCUCCACUUGGAGCAGAAAUCGGCUACGGCUUCAGUAUCAACAACACUACAGCCAAGGCGCAGUCUUCUGAGCUCUCUGUACGUGGAUCCUCCUUUGAUGCUAAGGGUUGGUUGGACAGGAGUGUUUAACAGGCCCACAGUCUACAGCACAUGGUUUCUUAACACAAGGCCUGUUCCUACCAAAUGCAGUGCUUGCUUCCCUGAGCAGUUCAGUGAACGCUAUGCCCUACAGUAAGUGCAUGCAGCAUUGGACCCAUGCUUUGUAACAGGUAUGCAUGUAACAGGGUUUGCACCAGGAUCAGUGCCAAACCCUCUUCUAAACCGUAGUGCAGAAGAAGCUGAAGGGAGAAGCCCCAAACGAGCAUAUUAAAUUCAUGGACAUUUUGUAUUUUCACAUCAGUGACUUGGAAUAAUGAAAAUGCAUUUUUCCCUCUCUUAUGCUCUAGGGUUUAAUUCUACUAUCAACACCUCCCGGGACGUGCUGAGCACAGUAGGAACAAAGGGGACUCACUACCUCUCAGGAUCAUGCCCUUUUUUGGUGGUGGUUGUAUCUGCCACCUGGCGAGGGACUGGGAAGACUUUAGUGUGACGUAGGCUAUGUCUACACUGCACACCUUACAGUGGUGCAGCUGUGCCAUUGUAGUUGCUCUUUGUCGCCAGGAGAGCGCGCUCCUAACGCCAAAAUAAAACCACCUCGAAUGAGGGGCGGUAACUUCGUCAGCGGGAGAGUCUUCUGCUAACAAAGCGGUGUCCACAUGGGCACUUUUCGUUGCUAAAACUUUUGUCGUUCAGGGAAGUGUUUUUUCACUUCCCCUGAGCAACAAAAGUUUUUAACAAUGAAAGUGUAGUGUGGACAUAGCCUAAGAGAAAAGUGUGGGUUUUUUCUAAAAAUAGCCUAUAACACGGUUUUAAAUAUUUUGUGUUGGCACAUGUUUUUACAGCUUAAAAUAUACUGCAUGUCUAACUCUGCACCUCUUUGCUUCAGUAAACAAGUGGCCCAGAUGCAUCAAUCAUUCCAGUUAGCUGAUUUCUCUAGGAAGACAUGGAAAUGUCAUCACCUCACCUCAGUGGGAGGAGAGCCACAUCAUUGACAUAACAGCCAGUGAGAAAAGCCAACUGAAAAUAACAAACACUAAUAUUUUUCUUUACAGUGUUUGAAAGUGUG